GGGCCAGUGGUCUAGUCCGGUUAAGACAACGCCCUUACACGGCGUAAAUCCCAGGUUCAAAUCCUGGCUGGCCCA
This 75-nucleotide transfer RNA is filed under the name Bacteroidota bacterium. Its description in RNAcentral is "tRNA-Val". It matches the Rfam family "tRNA". From Rfam's summary of the family: Transfer RNA (tRNA) molecules are approximately 80 nucleotides in length. Their secondary structure includes four short double-helical elements and three loops (D, anti-codon, and T loops). Lineage: Bacteria; Pseudomonadati; Bacteroidota. The record is from RNAcentral. RNAcentral also lists the same sequence under 1 other name.